AGAGUUUGAUCCUGGCUCAGAAUGAACGCUGGCGGUAUGGAUUAGGCAUGCAAGUCGAACGCUCACUUCGGUGAGAGUGGCGAAAGGGUGAGUAACGCGUGAGCAACCUACCCCCAAGUUUGGGAUAACUGUUGGAAACGACAGCUAAUACCGGAUGUGGAACUGCUUCCGCAUGGAAUGCAGCUUCUAAAGAUUUAUUGUUCAGAGAUGAGCUCGCGUCCCAUUAGCUAGUUGGUAAGGUAACGGCUUACCAAGGCGAUGAUGGGUAGCUGGUCUGAGAGGAUGAUCAGCCACACUGGGACUGAGACACUGCCCAGACUCCUGCGGGAGGCUGCAGUCGAGAAUCUUCCGCAAUGCGCGAAAGCGUGACGGAGCAAUGCCGCGUGAAGGAUGAAGGCUUUCGGGUCGUAAAAUGCUGUCACUGGGGACGAAAUUUGACGGUACCCAGAGAGGAAGCCACGGCUAACUACGUGCCAGCAGCCGCGGUAAUACGUAGGUGGCGAGCGUUGUUCGGAUUUAUUGGGCGUAAAGGGUCCGUAGGGGGUCAUGAAAGUCUGAUGUGAAAGCCAGUGGCUCAACCACUGAAUUGCAUAAGAAACUUCUAAACUAGAGUACUGGAGAGGUAAGUGGAAUUUCUGGUGUAGCGGUGGAAUGCGUAGAUAUCAGAAGGAACACCAAAGGCGAAGGCAGCUUUCUGGCUUGAUACUGACCCUGAGGGACGAAAGUUAGGGUAGCGAAAAGGAUUAGAUACCCUUGUAGUCCUAACCGUAAACGUUGUAUACUCGAUGUCGGGGAUAUUGAUCUCCUCGGUGUCUUAGCUAACGCAUUAAGUAUACCGCCUGGGGAGUACGGUCGCAAGACUAAAACUCAAAGGAAUUGACGGGGGCCCGCACAAGCGGUGGAGCAUGUGGCUUAAUUCGAGGCAACGCGAAGAACCUUACCUGGGUUUGACAUAUACGUGAUCGUGGACGAAAGUUCAUUUCUCUUCGGAGUAGGUAUACAGGUGCUGCAUGGCUGUCGUCAGCUCGUGCCGUGAGGUGUUCGGUUAAGUCCGGCAACGAGCGCAACCCAUGUCAUUAGUUGCAAACAGAUAAUGCUGUGAACUCUAGUGAGACUGCCCGUGUUAAGCGGGAGGAAGGAGUGGACGACGUCAAGUCAGUAUGGCCCUUACACCCAGGGCUGCACACGUGCUACAAUGGCCGGUACAGAAGGCAGCAAUACCGCGAGGUGGAGCUAAUCCCCAAAACCGGUCCCAGUUCGGAUUGAAGUCUGCAACUCGACUUCAUGAAGUUGGAAUCGCUAGUAAAGGCGUAUCAGCUACGACGCCUUGAAUACGUUCCCGGGCCUUGUACACACCGCCCGUCACAUCAUGGAAGCUGAAUGCACCCGAAGUCACUGUACCAACCCUCGGGAGGAAAGUGCCGAAGGUGUGCUUAGUAACUGGGAUGAAGUCGUAACAAGGUA
RNAcentral lists this ribosomal RNA (1464 nucleotides) under uncultured prokaryote. Its description in RNAcentral is "partial 16S ribosomal RNA". It matches the Rfam family "Bacterial small subunit ribosomal RNA". The record is from RNAcentral.